This 492-nucleotide ribosomal RNA is filed under the name uncultured bacterium. RNAcentral describes it as "partial 16S ribosomal RNA". It matches the Rfam family "Bacterial small subunit ribosomal RNA", at positions 28 to 507 of the family's 1533-position model. The record is from RNAcentral.
GAUGAACGCUAGCUACAGGCUUAACACAUGCAAGUCGAGGGGAAACGGCAUCGAAAGCUUGCUUUUGAUGGGCGUCGACCGGCGCACGGGUGAGUAACGCGUAUCCAACCUGCCCAUCACUUGGGAAUAACCUUGCGAAAGUAAGACUAAUGCCCAAUGACAUCCCACGAAGGCAUCCGAAUGGGAUUAAAGAUUUAUCGGUGAUGGAUGGGGAUGCGUCUGAUUAGCUUGUUGGCGGGGUGACGGCCCACCAAGGCAACGAUCAGUAGGGGUUCUGAGAGGAAGGUCCCCCACAUUGGAACUGAGACACGGUCCAAACUCCUACGGGAGGCAGCAGUGAGGAAUAGUGGUCAAUGGGCGAGAGCCUGAACCAGCCAAGUAGCGUGCAGGAGGACGGCCCUAUGGGUUGUAAACUGCUUUUAUAAGGGAAUAAAGUGGGUCACGUGUGACUUUUUGCAUGUACCUUAUGAAUAAGGACCGGCUAAUUCCGUG